This 72-nucleotide transfer RNA is filed under the name Helianthus annuus (common sunflower). RNAcentral's name for it is "tRNA HanXRQr2_Chr17g0793331". The record is from RNAcentral. Lineage: Eukaryota; Viridiplantae; Streptophyta; Magnoliopsida; Asterales; Asteraceae.
GCAUGCCCGGCCGAGUGGUUAUUGUGUUGCUUUUGAACCGUGAGGUCGCGGGAUCGAGCCCCGGGUCACGCA